RNAcentral lists this ribosomal RNA (931 nucleotides) under Arthrobacter sp. AD165. Its description in RNAcentral is "bacterial SSU rRNA". It matches the Rfam family "Bacterial small subunit ribosomal RNA", at positions 528 to 1456 of the family's 1533-position model. Lineage: Bacteria; Bacillati; Actinomycetota; Actinomycetes; Micrococcales; Micrococcaceae. The record is from RNAcentral.
UAGGGCGCAAGCGUUAUCCGGAAUUAUUGGGCGUAAAGAGCUCGUAGGCGGUUUGUCGCGUCUGCUGUGAAAGACCGGGGCUCAACUCCGGUUCUGCAGUGGGUACGGGCAGACUAGAGUGAUGUAGGGGAGACUGGAAUUCCUGGUGUAGCGGUGAAAUGCGCAGAUAUCAGGAGGAACACCGAUGGCGAAGGCAGGUCUCUGGGCAUUAACUGACGCUGAGGAGCGAAAGCAUGGGGAGCGAACAGGAUUAGAUACCCUGGUAGUCCAUGCCGUAAACGUUGGGCACUAGGUGUGGGGGACAUUCCACGUUUUCCGCGCCGUAGCUAACGCAUUAAGUGCCCCGCCUGGGGAGUACGGCCGCAAGGCUAAAACUCAAAGGAAUUGACGGGGGCCCGCACAAGCGGCGGAGCAUGCGGAUUAAUUCGAUGCAACGCGAAGAACCUUACCAAGGCUUGACAUGAACCGGUAACGCCUGGAAACAGGUGCCCCGCUUGCGGUCGGUUUACAGGUGGUGCAUGGUUGUCGUCAGCUCGUGUCGUGAGAUGUUGGGUUAAGUCCCGCAACGAGCGCAACCCUCGUUCUAUGUUGCCAGCGGUUCGGCCGGGGACUCAUAGGAGACUGCCGGGGUCAACUCGGAGGAAGGUGGGGACGACGUCAAAUCAUCAUGCCCCUUAUGUCUUGGGCUUCACGCAUGCUACAAUGGCCGGUACAAAGGGUUGCGAUACUGUGAGGUGGAGCUAAUCCCAAAAAGCCGGUCUCAGUUCGGAUUGGGGUCUGCAACUCGACCCCAUGAAGUCGGAGUCGCUAGUAAUCGCAGAUCAGCAACGCUGCGGUGAAUACGUUCCCGGGCCUUGUACACACCGCCCGUCAAGUCACGAAAGUUGGUAACACCCGAAGCCGGUGGCCUAACCCUUGUGGGGGGAGCCGU